CCUUAUACAAUUUUCCCUAAAAAAUCAAAACCUAAAACCAAGAUUCAGAAGCGGCGCCCUACACUGUUCGCUCAUCUUCCUCGCCCAAACCAAGCCCCAACUCACUCGAAACUCACCGAGUUUUUCCCUUACUCAUCUCACGCGCUCCUGCUUUCUCUCCUCUCUCCACGUAAGUGUAACGGUUUCUGAAAGCCAAAGAUCACCCCCCCCUGAUUUCAAGCUACUUCAAGCAAUUAGAAUGCUCUAAAAGAUGUGUGUUGGAUGAGUGAGAGGUGUCGGAUCGAUCUCGAUCAAUCCGAAUCCCACAUUCAUAGUGUGCUCAUUUUCAGAACGGCCUUAUCCGUUUUUUGAACAGAGAGGAGGAAUCUGGAGGUAAGAGAUAUAAAACGAGGGAAUAGGAUUUUCUUUAGGGGCUUGAGAUUUUUUGAGAGAUUUUGACAGAAAGGCUAGGGUUUAAAAGAAACAUUCUUCUUUUUCUUCGUUUCUAAUUUUGAGUUUAGUUAUCCGGAACAAGAGAAACAUAUAUUAAAUAAAAAAUCAUUGUUCUUUGAAUGUGGUUCAUUCUCGAUUACUUUUCGAAAAAAAAUCAGAAAAAAUACAUAUUCCGUCCUUUCUUUCUGGGCCGGAGGUUGUUCGAGUUUGUUCGUUGGGUGCCAUCGAAGACUGGAAUCAUUUUUUUUGGAAUUGUUGAUGUUCCUCGACUAAAUAUUUGCGGAAUCGGAAGUUGUUGUAUUCCUUGAAUUUAUUCAUUAUUGAGAAAGAUUGUGUCCCAACAGGUUUAUCUCUACUCUUAUAAUCUUUAUUUUAAUCUUAUAUAACAAGAACUACUAUUAUUCAAUAUAAUCUCACAAAGUGGGUUUUGUGAAGGUAAUAUGUUGACGACCCCCUACCGAAAGGAGACUGUUUUAAAUCGACCUUCCGCAGGAAAGUAAAAAACAAGAACAAAAAC
RNAcentral lists this long non-coding RNA (949 nucleotides) under Nicotiana benthamiana. RNAcentral describes it as "long non-coding RNA (NBEN_LNC042391)". The record is from RNAcentral. Lineage: Eukaryota; Viridiplantae; Streptophyta; Magnoliopsida; Solanales; Solanaceae.